ACGGGAGGCAGCAGUGGGGAAUAUUGGACAAUGGGGGAAACCCUGAUCCAGCGACGCCGCGUGAGUGAAGAAGUAUUUCGGUAUGUAAAGCUCUAUCAGCAAGGAAGAAAAUGACGGUACUUGACUAAGAAGCCCCGGCUAACUACGUGCCAGCAGCCGCGGUAAUACGUAGGGGGCAAGCGUUGUCCGGAAUGAUUGGGCGUAAAGGGCGCGUAGGCGGCCUGUUAAGUCUGGAGUGAAAGUCCUGCUUUUAAGGUGGGAAUUGCUUUGGAUACUGAUGGGCUUGAGUGCAGGAGAGGUAAGUGGAAUUCCCAGUGUAGCGGUGAAAUGCGUAGAGAUUGGGAGGAACACCAGUGGCGAAGGCGACUUACUGGACUGUAACUGACGCUGAGGCGCGAAAGUGUGGGGAGCAAACAGGAUUAGAUACCCUGGUA
This 434-nucleotide ribosomal RNA is filed under the name uncultured bacterium. Its description in RNAcentral is "partial 16S ribosomal RNA". It matches the Rfam family "Bacterial small subunit ribosomal RNA", at positions 341 to 792 of the family's 1533-position model. The record is from RNAcentral.